This 253-nucleotide ribosomal RNA is filed under the name uncultured bacterium. RNAcentral describes it as "partial 16S ribosomal RNA". It matches the Rfam family "Bacterial small subunit ribosomal RNA", at positions 524 to 776 of the family's 1533-position model. The record is from RNAcentral.
UACGGAGGGUGCAAGCGUUACUCGGAAUCACUGGGCGUAAAGGGUGCGUAGGCUGACUUUUAAGUCAGGCGUGAAAUCCAAUGGCUUAACCAUUGAACUGCGCUUGAAACUGGGAGUCUAGAGUUCAGAAGGGGCAGAUGGAAUUAGUGGUGUAGGGGUAAAAGCCGUAGAUAUCACUAGGAAUAUCAAAAGCGAAGGCGAUCUGCUGGGAUGAUACUGACGCUGAGGCACGAAAGCGUGGGGAGCAAACAGG